Molecule: long non-coding RNA, 1467 nt
Filed under: Setaria viridis
Lineage: Eukaryota; Viridiplantae; Streptophyta; Magnoliopsida; Poales; Poaceae
Description: long non-coding RNA (SVIR_LNC002408)
Source: RNAcentral
CAGAUCAACCCAGGGCGGAGAGUGGUCACGAACACUUCCGGACACGUGGCAUCCCUCCAUUGGCAGUGGCGCAAUCCAAAUGGAGGCCUCAAGUGAUUCACGCGGCCACAUGGCGUGCACACACUGGCCGCCAACUUAUCCAGUCAGAUAAGGCCGCGGCGGCAAGCGACGCCACCACGUCCGUCUCAUAUAUUUUUUGCCACGCUGCCACUGGAGCCCGAGACUGCUCCACCGAAAAAGCUCCCUCCUGACUGCUCCACCGAAGAAGCGUGGAAGCGAAGCCAAGGCAGCUGAGAUGGCACAAGCCAUGGCGUCCAUGACCGGCCUCUCGCAGGGCGUGCUGCCCAGCAGGCGCGCCGCCAGCAGGGCUAGGACGGCCGUCGUCAGGGCGUCCGCCGACGGCGAGGCCGGCCGCCGCGCCGUGCUCGGGCUGGUGGCCACCGGCAUCGUCGGCAGCGUCUUCUCCCAGGCGGCGCACGCCGAGGCCGUCAAGACCAUCAAGAUCGGCCCCCCGCCGCCGCCCUCCGGUGGACUUCGUGAGUGCCUGCCUUGCCUGCACCUCAGAAUUGAUGUGUAGCUUCAAUUCCAUAAACUUGCGUCCGCAUCUUCUAGGUACCAUAUAGUAUAAGAUUAUAAGAUUUUGAUUAUUUUUUCAAGAUCUGUAUUUCCUCAAAAAAAAAAAGGCAUCAACCUCUGCAUUUCUUGAACAAAUUAAAAAUGGUGUCGACCCUUAACGAUCAUUGAUAGUAAAGCAUAGCCACUGAUCCAGAGUGAAAAAACCAGAUGUACAAGCAGAUUAUUUUGUGCAAAAUUAGCGCUAUAACUCUCGGAGCACCGCGUGAUUGUGGAACAAAUCCGUCUAACGCAUCUGCUUCUAAUUUACCAUGGCGCAGCCGGGACCUUGAACUCUGACCAGGCCAGGGACUUCGACCUCGCCUUGAAGGAGCGGUUCUACCUGCAGCCGCUGCCGCCGGCGGAAGCCGCGGCGAGGGCCAAGUCGUCGGCGCAGGACAUCCUCAACCUCAAGCCGCUCAUCGACAAGAAGGCGUGGCCGUACGUCAUGAACGACCUCCGCCUCCGAGCCUCCUACCUGCGCUACGACCUCAACACCGUCAUCGCCUCCAAACCCAAGGAUGAGAAGAAGAGCCUCAAGGAGCUCACCGGCAAGCUCUUCAGCACCAUCGACGAUGUAAGCCAUGCUGCCAUUGAACUGAGAACAAUUGGCCAAUAACUUUUUUUCUCACUUUUUCACCAUAGCUAUGGAAAUAACAUGUAAGCUUCUCUUCUCAUUUUGGCAGCUUGACCAUGCGGCAAAGAUCAAGAGCACCCCGGAGGCUGAGAAAUCCUUCGCGGCGACCAAAUCCGCGCUCGAUGAUGUUUUCGCCAAGCUAGGCUAGAUGGAAUAUGAUGGGCUGAUGGCCAUGUAAUUUCAGACUUUUGUGUUUGUUCAUAUGGAGCCGGCAAUGU